Molecule: ribosomal RNA, 253 nt
Filed under: uncultured bacterium
Lineage: Bacteria
Description: partial 16S ribosomal RNA
Rfam family: Bacterial small subunit ribosomal RNA
Source: RNAcentral
UACGUAGGGUGCAAGCGUUGUCCGGAAUUAUUGGGCGUAAAGAGCUCGUAGGCGGUUUGUCGCGUCUGGUGUGAAAAUCCAGGGCUUAACCCUGGACCUGCAUCGGGUACGGGCAGACUAGAGUGCGGUAGGGGAGAUCGGAAUUCCUGGUGUAGCGGUGAAAUGCGUAGAUAUCAGGAGGAACACCUGCGGUGUAGACGGCUUACUGGACCAUCACUGACGCUGAGGCACGAAAGCGUGGGUAGCAAACAGG